RNAcentral lists this ribosomal RNA (408 nucleotides) under uncultured bacterium. RNAcentral's name for it is "bacterial SSU rRNA". It matches the Rfam family "Bacterial small subunit ribosomal RNA", at positions 355 to 775 of the family's 1533-position model. The record is from RNAcentral.
UGGGGAAUCUUGUGCAAUGGGCGAAAGCCUGACACAGCGACGCCGCGUGCGGGAUGAAGGCCUUCGGGUUGUAAACCGCUUUCAGCAGGGACGAAGCUGACGUGACGGUACCUGCAGAAGAAGGUCCGGCCAACUACGUGCCAGCAGCCGCGGUAAUACGUAGGGACCGAGCGUUGUCCGGAUUUAUUGGGCGUAAAGAGCUCGUAGGCGGCUGUUCAAGUCGAGUGUGAAAACUCGGGGCUCAACUCCGAGCCUGCACUCGAUACUGGACGGCUAGAGUCUGGUAGGGGGAUCUGGAACUCCUGGUGUAGCGGUGGAAUGCGCAGAUAUCAGGAAGAACACCGGUGGCGAAGGCGGGAUCCUGGGCCAGUACUGACGCUGAGGAGCGAAAGCGUGGGGAGCAAACAG